GAUGAACGCUGGCGGCGUGCCUAAUACAUGCAAGUCGAGCGAACAGACUAGGCGCUUGCUCCUCUGACGUUAGCGGCGGACGGGUGAGUAACACGUGGAUAACCUACCUAUAAGACUGGGAUAACUUCCGGAAACCGGCGCUAAUACCGCAUAAUAUAUUGAACCGCAUGGUUCAAUAGUGAAAGCCCGUUUUGCUGUCCCUUAUAGAUGGAUCCGCGCCGCAUUAGCUAGUUGGUAAGUUAACGGCUUACCAAGGCAACGAUGCGUAGCCGACCGGAGAGGGGGAUCGGCCACCCGGGAACGGAGACAACCCCCAGACUCCUAAGGGAGGGAACAGUAGGGAACCUGCCGCCAAGGGCGAAAGCUUGCAGGAGGAACGCCCCGAGCGGGAUGAAGGUCUUCGGAUCGUAAAACUCUGUUAGUAGGGAAGAACAAAUGUGUAAGUAAAUAUGCACGUGUUGACGGUACCUUAUCAGAAAGCCACGGCUAACUUCGUC
Molecule: ribosomal RNA, 497 nt
Filed under: uncultured bacterium
Lineage: Bacteria
Description: partial 16S ribosomal RNA
Rfam family: Bacterial small subunit ribosomal RNA
Source: RNAcentral